This 253-nucleotide ribosomal RNA is filed under the name uncultured bacterium. RNAcentral describes it as "partial 16S ribosomal RNA". It matches the Rfam family "Bacterial small subunit ribosomal RNA", at positions 524 to 776 of the family's 1533-position model. The record is from RNAcentral.
UACGGAGGGUCCAAGCGUUAUCCGGAAUCAUUGGGUUUAAAGGGUCCGUAGGCGGUUUUGUAAGUCAGUGGUGAAAGCCCAUCGCUCAACGGUGGAACGGCCAUUGAUACUGCAAGACUUGAAUUAUUAGGAAGUAACUAGAAUAUGUAGUGUAGCGGUGAAAUGCUUAGAGAUUACAUGGAAUACCAAUUGCGAAGGCAGGUUACUACUAAUGGAUUGACGCUGAUGGACGAAAGCGUGGGGAGCGAACAGG